CCUACGGGAGGCUGCAGUGAGGAAUAUUGGUCAAUGGUCGGGAGACUGAACCAGCCAAGCCGCGUGAGGGAUGAAGGUCCAGAGUAUCGUAAACCUCUUUUGUCAGGGAACAAAGGCGGGGACGUGUCCCCGGCUGAGUGUACCUGAAGAAAAAGCAUCGGCUAACUCCGUGCCAGCAGCCGCGGUAAUACGGAGGAUGCGAGCGUUAUCCGGAUUUAUUGGGUUUAAAGGGUGCGCAGGCGGUCUGUUAAGUCAGCGGUCAAAGCCCGGGGCUCAACCCCGGCCCGCCGUUGAAACUGGCAGUCUCGAGUUGGAGAGAAGUAUGCGGAAUGCGCGGUGUAGCGGUGAAAUGCAUAGAUAUCGCGCAGAACUCCGAUUGCGAAGGCAGCAUGCCGGGUCCACACUGACGCUGAGGCACGAAAGCGUGGGGAUCGAACAGGAUUAGAUACCCGGGUAGUC
RNAcentral lists this ribosomal RNA (459 nucleotides) under uncultured bacterium. Its description in RNAcentral is "partial 16S ribosomal RNA". It matches the Rfam family "Bacterial small subunit ribosomal RNA", at positions 338 to 795 of the family's 1533-position model. The record is from RNAcentral.